Molecule: transfer RNA, 71 nt
Filed under: Stenocercus cupreus
Lineage: Eukaryota; Metazoa; Chordata; Lepidosauria; Squamata; Tropiduridae
Description: tRNA-Ile
Rfam family: tRNA
About the family: Transfer RNA (tRNA) molecules are approximately 80 nucleotides in length. Their secondary structure includes four short double-helical elements and three loops (D, anti-codon, and T loops). Further hydrogen bonds mediate the characteristic L-shaped molecular structure. tRNAs have two regions of fundamental functional importance: the anti-codon, which is responsible for specific mRNA codon recognition, and the 3' end, to which the tRNAs corresponding amino acid is attached (by aminoacyl-tRNA synthetases). tRNAs cope with the degeneracy of the genetic code in two manners: having more than one tRNA (with a specific anti-codon) for a particular amino acid; and 'wobble' base-pairing, i.e. permitting non-standard base-pairing at the 3rd anti-codon position.
Source: RNAcentral
GGAAGCGUGCCCGAAUUUUAAGGACUACUUUGAUAGAGUAACCCACAGAGGUUCAAAUCCUCUCACUUCCU